AGAGUUUGAUCCUGGCUCAGGAUGAACGCUGGCGGCGUGCCUAAUACAUGCAAGUCGAACGAAGUGCUUCGGCACUUAGUGGCGAACGGGUGAGUAAUACGUAAACAAUCUGCCCUUAAGCCUGGGAUAACGUCGGGAAACUGACGCUAAUACCGGAUAGGCAUAUUUGAGGCAUCUCGAAUAUGUUAAAGAUGGGACACAUCACUGAAGGAUGAGUUUAUGGUGCAUCAGUUAGUUGGCGGGGUAACGGCCCACCAAGACGAUGAUGCAUAGCCGAUCUGAGAGGAUGACCGGCCACAUUGGGACUGAGACACGGCCCAGACUCCUACGGGAGGCAGCAGUAGGGAAUUUUCGGCAAUGGGGGAAACCCUGACCGAGCAACGCCGCGUGAACGAUGAAGGCCUUUGGGUCGCAGAGUUCUGUUGUAAGGGAAGAAACUUUAGUAUAGGGAAUGAUGCUAAACUGACGGUACCUUACCAGAAAGCCACGGCUAACUACGUGCCAGCAGCCGCGGUAAUACGUAGGUGGCGAGCGUUAUCCGGAAUCAUUGGGCGUAAAGGGUGCGUAGGCGGCUGAUUAAGUUUGUGUUUAAAGCGCGAAGCUCAACUUCGUAAAGGCACAAAAACUGGUCGGCUAGAGUGCAGUAGAGGCAGAUGGAACUCCAUGUGUAGCGGUAAAAUGCGUAGAUAUAUGGAAGAACACCAGUGGCGAAGGCGGUCUGCUGGGCUGUAACUGACGCUGAGGCACGAAAGCGAGGGGAGCAAAUAGGAUUAGAUACCCUAGUGGUCCACGCCGUAAACGAUGAAUACUAAGUGUUGGAGAAAUCCAGUGCUGCAGUUAACGCAAUAAGUAUUCCGCCUGGGGAGUAUGCACGCAAGUGUGAAACUCAAAGGAAUUGACGGGGACCCGCACAAGCGGUGGAUUAUGUGGUUUAAUUCGACGCAACGCGAAGAACCUUACCAAGCCUUGACAUCCCUGGCAAAGUCAUAGAGAUAUGAUGGAGGUUAUCCAGGUGACAGGUGGUGCAUGGUUGUCGUCAGCUCGUGUCGUGAGAUGUUGGGUUAAGUCCCGCAACGAGCGCAACCCUUGUCUUCAGUUACCAUCAUUAAGUUGGGGACUCUGGAGAGACUGCCGGUGACAAACCGGAGGAAGGUGGGGAUGACGUCAAAUCAGCAUGCCCCUUAUGGCUUGGGCUACACACGUAAUACAAUGGCGUAUACAAAGGGAUGCGAAAGGGCGACCUGGAGCGAACCCCAUAAAGUACGUCUCAGUUCGGAUUGGAGUCUGCAACUCGACUCCAUGAAGUUGGAAUCGCUAGUAAUCGUGGAUCAGCACGCCACGGUGAAUACGUUCUCGGGUCUUGUACUCACCGCCCGUCA
Molecule: ribosomal RNA, 1379 nt
Filed under: uncultured bacterium
Lineage: Bacteria
Description: 16S ribosomal RNA
Rfam family: Bacterial small subunit ribosomal RNA
Source: RNAcentral